RNAcentral lists this ribosomal RNA (468 nucleotides) under uncultured bacterium. RNAcentral's name for it is "partial 16S ribosomal RNA". It matches the Rfam family "Bacterial small subunit ribosomal RNA", at positions 28 to 507 of the family's 1533-position model. The record is from RNAcentral.
GACGAACGCUGGCGGCGUGCUUAACACAUGCAAGUCGAACGGAAAGGCCCUGCUUUUGUGGGGUACUCGAGUGGCGAACGGGUGAGUAACACGUGAGUAACCUGCCCUUGACUUUGGGAUAACUUCAGGAAACUGGGGCUAAUACCGGAUAGGAGCUCCUGCUGCAUGGUGGGGGUUGGAAAGUUUCGGCGGUUGGGGAUGGACUCGCGGCUUAUCAGCUUGUUGGUGGGGUAGUGGCUUACCAAGGCUUUGACGGGUAGCCGGCCUGAGAGGGUGACCGGCCACAUUGGGACUGAGAUACGGCCCAGACGCCUACGGGAGGCAGCAGUGGGGAAUAUUGCACAAUGGGCGGAAGCCUGAUGCAGCAACGCCGCGUGCGGGAUGACGGCCUUCGGGGUGUAAACCGCUUUCGCCUGUGACGAAGCGUGAGUGACGGUAAUGGGUAAAGAAGCACCGGCUAACUACGUG